RNAcentral lists this ribosomal RNA (331 nucleotides) under uncultured bacterium. Its description in RNAcentral is "bacterial SSU rRNA". It matches the Rfam family "Bacterial small subunit ribosomal RNA", at positions 568 to 897 of the family's 1533-position model. The record is from RNAcentral.
CGCGUAGGCGGGAUGGCAAGUCGGUCGUGAAAUCCUUCGGCUCAACCGAAGAACGUCGAUCGAUACUGCUGUUCUUGAGGGUUGCAGAGGAGACUGGAAUUCCCGGUGUAGCGGUGAAAUGUGUAGAGAUCGGGAGGAACACCGGUGGCGAAGGCGGGUCUCUGGGCAACUCCUGACGCUGAGGCGCGAAAGCGUGGGGAGCAAACGGGAUUAGAUACCCCGGUAGUCCACGCUGUAAACGAUGACGACUAGGUGUGGGGGGGUUCAGUCCCUUCCGUGCCGCAGCUAACGCAUUAAGUCGUCCGCCUGGGGAGUACGGCCGCAAGGUUGA